GACGAAGGGGGCUAGCGUUGUUCGGAAUUACUGGGCGUAAAGCGAGUGUAGGUGGUCUCAUUUGUCCGGGGUGAAAGCCUUGAGCUUAACUCAAGAAGUGCCCCGGAAACGGUGAGACUCGAGUACUGGAGAGGGUCGUGGAAUUCCCGGUGUAGCGGUGAAAUGCGUAGAGAUCGGGAGGAACACCAGAGGCGAAGGCGGCGACCUGGACAGUUACUGACACUCAACUACGAAAGCGUGGGGAGCAAACAGG
Molecule: ribosomal RNA, 253 nt
Filed under: uncultured bacterium
Lineage: Bacteria
Description: partial 16S ribosomal RNA
Rfam family: Bacterial small subunit ribosomal RNA
Source: RNAcentral